AUGGAUUACGAGCCGCCGAAGCUCUGCCAUUGCAAUCCGCCAAGGAAGGUGCCGAGGUGGAUAUCAUGGAGCCGGCAGAACCCCGGCAGGAGGUACUACGCUUGCGUCCAUGCGCUGAAUGGUGGUUGUCGGUUUAUUGAGUGGCAUGAUGAUCCACUGCCCAAGUUUUUUUCUGAUUUGAUUGGACAUUUAAGAGAUGAAGUUUGGAGACUGAAGGGUGCUAGGACUGAAGAUGCAGUUGAAGAGCAAACAAUGACAGAAAGUGUGAUUGUGGCUCUGCAGGAACAGUUGAAAGAAAAAAGUGCUGGGGCAGAUGCAGUGAAGACCAAAUAUAAGACAAUUCUGGUUGUGUUUGUUGUCUUUGUGCUAGGUUUAGUGCUAGGGAAAUUUCUAGUGCACUGA
RNAcentral lists this ribosomal RNA (402 nucleotides) under Triticum aestivum (bread wheat). Its description in RNAcentral is "partial small subunit ribosomal RNA". Lineage: Eukaryota; Viridiplantae; Streptophyta; Magnoliopsida; Poales; Poaceae. The record is from RNAcentral.